GUGACGGUACCUGCAGAAAAAGCACCGGCUAACUACGUGCCAGCAGCCGCGGUAAUACGUAGGGUGCAAGCGUUGUCCGGAAUUAUUGGGCGUAAAGAGCUCGUAGGCGGUGUGUCACGUCUGCUGUGAAAAUCCAAGGCUCAACCUUGGACUUGCAGUGGGUACGGGCACACUCGAGUGCGGUAGGGGAGAUUGGAAUUCCUGGUGUAGCGGUGGAAUGCGCAGAUAUCAGGAGGAACACCGAUGGCGAAGGCAGAUCUCUGGGCCGUAACUGACGCUGAGGAGCGAAAGCGUGGGGAGCGAACAGGAUUAGAUACCCUGGUAGUCCACGCCGUAAACGGUGGGAACUAGAUGUGGGGUCCGUUCCACGGAUUCCGUGUCGCAGCUAACGCAUUAAGUUCCCCGCCUGGGGAGUACGGCCGCAAGGCUAAAACUCAAAGGAAUUGACGGGGGCCCGCACAAGCGGCGGAGCAUGCGGAUUAAUUCGAUGCAACGCGAAGAACCUUACCAAGGCUUGACAUAUAGAGGAAAAGUGCAGAGAUGCACUCCCCGCAAGGUCUCUAUACAGGUGGUGCAUGGUUGUCGUCAGCUCGUGUCGUGAGAUGUUGGGUUAAGUCCCGCAACGAGCGCAACCCUCGUCCUAUGUUGCCAGCACGUAAUGGUGGGAACUCAUGGGAUACUGCCGGGGUCAACUCGGAGGAAGGUGGGGAUGACGUCAAAUCAUCAUGCCCCUUAUGUCUUGGGCUUCACGCAUGCUACAAUGGCCGGUACAGAGGGCAGCAAUACCGCAAGGUGGAGCGAAUCCCAGAAAGCCGGUCUCAGUUCGGAUUGAGGUCUGCAACUCGACCUCAUGAAGUCGGAGUCGCUAGUAAUCGCGAAUCAGCAACGUCGCGGUGAAUACGUUCCCGGGCCUUGUACACACCGCCCGUCAAGUCAUGAAAGUCGGUAACACCCGAAGCCGGUGGCCCAACCCUUGUGGAGGGAGCCGUCGAAGGUGGGAUCGGUGAUUAGGACUAAGUCGUAACAAGGUAGCCGUACCGGAAGGUGCGGCUG
This 1053-nucleotide ribosomal RNA is filed under the name marine metagenome. RNAcentral describes it as "bacterial SSU rRNA". It matches the Rfam family "Bacterial small subunit ribosomal RNA", at positions 469 to 1520 of the family's 1533-position model. The record is from RNAcentral.